UGGGGAAUUGUUCGCAAUGGGCGCAAGCCUGACGACGCAACGCCGCGUGGGGGAUGGAGGUCUUCGGAUUGUAAACCCCUGUUGGGUGGGACGAACACUUUCGUGGUGAAUAGCCAUGGAGGCUGACGGUACCACCGGAGGAAGCUCCGGCUAACUCUGUGCCAGCAGCCGCGGUAAUACAGAGGGGGCAAGCGUUGUUCGGAAUUACUGGGCGUAAAGGGCGCGUAGGCGGAUCGUUAAGUCGGGGGUGAAAUCCUGGAGCUCAACUCCAGAACUGCCUUCGAUACUGGCGAUCUUGAGUCCGGAAGAGGUGAGUGGAACUCCUAGUGUAGAGGUGGAAUUCGUAGAUAUUAGGAAGAACACCAGUGGCGAAGGCGGCUCACUGGUCCGGUACUGACGCUGAGGUGCGAAAGCGUGGGGAGCAAA
RNAcentral lists this ribosomal RNA (426 nucleotides) under uncultured bacterium. Its description in RNAcentral is "bacterial SSU rRNA". It matches the Rfam family "Bacterial small subunit ribosomal RNA", at positions 355 to 772 of the family's 1533-position model. The record is from RNAcentral.